This 483-nucleotide ribosomal RNA is filed under the name uncultured bacterium. RNAcentral describes it as "partial 16S ribosomal RNA". It matches the Rfam family "Bacterial small subunit ribosomal RNA", at positions 28 to 523 of the family's 1533-position model. The record is from RNAcentral.
GACGAACGCUGGCGGCGUGCUUAACACAUGCAAGUCGAACGAUGAAGCCGGAGCUUGCUCCGGUGGAUUAGUGGCGAACGGGUGAGUAACACGUGAGCAAUCUGCCCUUGACUCUGGGAUAACUGCGGGAAACUGUAGCUAAUACCGGAUACGACACCUUGGGGCAUCCUAGGGUGUGGAAAGAAUUUCGGUCAAGGAUGAGCUCGCGGCCUACCAGCUAGUUGGUGAGGUAAUGGCUCACCAAGGCGACGACGGGUAGCCGGCCUGAGAGGGUGACCGGCCACACUGGAACUGAGACACGGUCCAGACUCCUACGGGAGGCAGCAGUGGGGAAUAUUGCACAAUGGGUGAAAGCCUGAUGCAGCAACGCCGCGUGAGGGAUGAAGGCCUUCGGGUUGUAAACCUCUUUUAGCAGGGAAGAAGCGAAAGUGACGGUACCUGCAGAAAAAGCACCGGCUAACUACGUGCCAGCCGCCGCCGUAA